RNAcentral lists this ribosomal RNA (253 nucleotides) under uncultured bacterium. RNAcentral describes it as "partial 16S ribosomal RNA". It matches the Rfam family "Bacterial small subunit ribosomal RNA", at positions 524 to 776 of the family's 1533-position model. The record is from RNAcentral.
UACGUAGGGUGCGAGCGUUAAUCGGAAUUACUGGGCGUAAAGCGUGCGCAGGCGGUAGGUUAAGUCUGAUGUGAAAGCCCCGGGCUCAACCUGGGAAUGGCAUUGGAAACUGGCUUGCUGGAGUGUGGCAGAGGGGGGUGGAAUUCCGCGUGUAGCAGUGAAAUGCGUAGAGAUGCGGAGGAACACCGAUGGCGAAGGCAGCCCCCUGGGCUGACACUGACGCUCAGGCACGAAAGCGUGGGGAGCAAACAGG